CGAUGAAAUGUCAAGGAAGAAGAUGGAUUUGACAGCAGAGGAGCUGAAGGAAGAGAAGGACUUGGCCUACUCAUGCCUCUCUUAAACAGCCAAUACUCUUCUUCCGAAGCCAUUUUUCAUCUAUCAGGUGUGAGAUCAUCAUAGCUGUUAGGGCUGUGUCUGAAUAAGAUCUCCAAACACUGUUUUAUAACCUCUUUGUGGGUUUGUCUUCGUAUUGAGCAUUGUCCCUGGUUUGUUUCUAAACCAGGAUAUCGUUUACUCUGUGGUUCAUGUGUCUUGUAUGGUUUUAUCCAUAAUAAUUUUUUAAAAAAUUGGUAACUUCAUGUUCUCCAUUAGUUUUGGUCUUAGUCAGUACUCAGUAGCCCAAAACUGAUACCGAGUUUGUGCAGUUAUGGGGAAUGGCGUUGUGUUGCAAGAGGGAACGUCUGGUUCUUGAACACUAGAUUAGAGGUUUCUAUUCUCGAUGGCCCAAUGAAUCAGAAAUCGAAUCAGAUUCAUGAGCCCACCAUGUAAAUGAAGAUAACUCAAUUUCCGCACUAAAGGCCUUACUAAAAUACUUCAAACAAAAUUUAAUUCCUUGUUAAAUAUCUAACGAUCCCAAGAAAAAAAUCUUGGAUGAGCAAAUGAAAAUGAGAUUUCAGUUAAAGAAAAGAUCCAAUAAUAUUGGAUUGCAACUAGUUUAGUGGAUAAAAGUUGUCUAACUACUUUUGUCUUGUGGAUAGAGUUGUCCACAUAUCUUGCAUGUGGCUAGUGUUACUCUACUCAACCAAACAUAAUCCCCAAGGUAAGAGUUCCUAGAUUGUUCUUGAUUAUACUUUCCUGGUUAGGCCAAGGCUUGUUUCUUAUUUAGUAGAUUUUCAUCUUUUGUUUUCUGACAGCUUCGUUGAAUCAUUCUCUGUUAGCUAUAUGUAUGAGCUUGUGGUCUGAAAAUUAAAUCAUGGCAGAAUCUGGACAGAGAGUGAAGCUUUAGCUGAUUUGGUCUCCAUCUCGGAUCAUAAACUAUGGCGACGAACAGAAAGACUAUAGUGUGGUUCAGAAGAGACUUAAGGAUCGAGGAUAACCCUGCACUAGCAGCAGCUGCUCGCGAAGGAUCAGUCUUCCCUGUUUUCAUUUGGUGCCCUGAAGAAGAAGGUCAGUUUCAUCCAGGAAGGGCUUCAAGAUGGUGGAUGAAACAGUCUCUUGCUCACUUGAACCAAUCCUUGAAGUCUCUUGGCUCCCACCUCACGUUUAUCAAAACACAUAGCACGGUUUCCGCUAUCUUGGACUGUGUCCGCGCCACUGGUGCCACAAAAGUCGUCUUCAACCACCUCUAUGGUAACUCAUCUUCAGUUCAUUUGGUUAGUUUAUCGAAUAUGCUUAGUUUUAAUGAAGUUAUGGUUUCCUUGGUUGUAGAUCCUGUUUCGCUAGUUAGAGACCAUAACGUAAAGGAGAAACUUAUGGAACGUGGGAUCUCUGUGCAAGGCUACAACGGUGAUCUAUUGUAUGAGCCUUGGGAGAUAAACUCCGAAAAUGGCAAACCUUUUACGAGUUUUGCUCCUUACUGGAAGAAAUGCUUAGACAUGUCGGUUGAAUCCGUUAUGCUUCCUCCUCCUUGGCGUUUGAUGCCUCUAACUGCAGGUAAAAUACCCAGGGCCGGUCCUGAGAUUUUAGACCCUGUAGGCGAUUUAGUAAAAAUUUCAACAACUUUUUUUUAAAAAAAUUGGGGACUUAUAUCUAAAUCAUUUUCAUUCGGUUUUGCCCAGGACCGGCCCUGGUAAAACCUUAAAAGAAUAUGUAAAAAGAACAUAAAACAUUUUCGACUUUUAUGGGGACACAACUGUUGAAAAAGUGUGUGUGUUUCUGUGUUCUUUAGCAGCUGAAGGGGUGUGGGCAUGUUCAAUAGAAGAACUAGGGCUAGAAGACGAGGCAGAGAAGCCAAGCAAUGCGCUCUUAACUAGAGCUUGGUCACCAGGCUGGAGCAACGCUGAUAAGACACUAACCGAGUUCAUCGAGAAACAGUUGAUAGACUACGCAAAGAACAGCAAGAAAGUAGUUGGGAACUCAACCUCGAUGCUCUCUCCCUAUCUCCACUUCGGGGAAAUAAGCGUCAGACGUGUUUUCCAGUGCGUCCGUAUGAAAAAAAUCAUAUGGGCAAGAGACAAAAACACUGAAGGAGAAGAGAGCGCUGAUCUUUUCCUUAGAGGGAUUGGUCAAAGAGAGUAUUCUCGGUAUAUAUGUUUCAACUUCCCUUUUACUCACGAGCAGUCCUUGUUGAGUCAUCUUCGUUUCUUCCCUUGGGACGCUGACGUUGGCAAGUUCAAGGCGUGGAGUCAAGGCAGGACUGGGUAUCCGUUGGUGGAUGCUGGGAUGAGGGAGCUUUGGGCUACUGGAUGGAUGCAUAACAGGAUAAGAGUCAUUGUUUCGAGCUUUGCUGUGAAGUUUCUCCUUCUUCCGUGGAAAUGGGGAAUGAAGUAUUUUUGGGAUACUCUUUUGGAUGCUGAUUUGGAAUGUGACAUCAUUGGCUGGCAGUAUAUCUCCGGGAGCUUACCUGAUGGCCACGAGCUUGAUCGCUUGGACAAUCCUGCGGUAAACUUACAUAUCUUUUACUAUAGAACUUGGUUUUCGGGUCCUCGAAUAUAUGGGCCUUACUUAAGCCCAUAUAUUGUAUUAUUAUCUACGGAUCUUUUUCCUAAUUUAAAUCUGAAUUUAUUAUUUAUUUAUUCCUUGGAGAUAAGUGGCAUGACACAGCAGCUCUUCGAUAUCUCCGAUAAAUAGAGACCGUAGUGAGCUCCCAAAGGCUAUAACUCACGAGCCUCCCCAGAAACCUCAAAUACCGAUCCAUUUCCCGGCGAUAAUCGACGAUCUAGAUCCGAUGGCGAAGGAACCAGUUCGCGUUCUCGUUACCGGUGCUGCAGGUAGCUUUAGCUUUUCUCAGAUCUUUGAUUUUUGACCUCGUGCUUACUGUAGUCAGAUCUCUGUGUAGUCGAUGUUAUAGAUCGAUGAAUCAGACGUUGAUUCUAGUGAUAGGAUGAGAUCUGAUUAGAUCCUCAUUUUGCUAGGCUUGAAACGAACCAUGUGAUUUUUAUAGUCUGAUGCUCCGUGGUAUUGUAAUCAUGCAUGAACCAGUUAAAACUGUAGAGUUUUGAUCUAGAAGCUGACGUGUUACCACAACGCUGAAGUCAACUUUAUUUAUUUAUUUAUUAUUUUAUUUGAUAGCAUAUUCAUGUUUGUUCGUUGACUAAAUUGGAUAUCUUAUUAUUUUAUAGAUUGAAAACGGUUUUGGUUAACUCUAUAUUGUAUGAUUUGGAUAUAGUUUAUAGUUUGUGAAUGAAAACGAUUGUGAUUUUUGAUGCAGGACAAAUUGGAUACGCUCUUGUCCCUAUGAUUGCGAGAGGUAUCAUGCUUGGUGCUGACCAGCCUGUGAUCCUCCACAUGUUGGAUAUUCCUCCUGCUGCUGAAGCACUCAACGGUGUCAAGAUGGAGUUGAUCGAUGCUGCUUUCCCCCUUCUCAAAGGUAGUUUCAUUUUCUGAUGUUGUAUUUUCAUUUUUUGCUCAAGUGAGAGAGAUAAUGAACAUUUGACGUGUUUUGUUCAGGUGUUGUUGCUACAACUGAUGCCGUUGAGGGAUGCACUGGAGUCAACGUUGCUGUUAUGGUUGGUGGUUUCCCGAGGAAAGAAGGAAUGGAGAGGAAGGAUGUUAUGACCAAGAACGUCUCCAUUUACAAGUCUCAGGCUACUGCUUUGGAGAAGCAUGCCGCUCCAAACUGCAAGGUAAAAAAAGAUCUGCGUGUCUUUUAAAUCAGUUUCUUUCUUGAAGACAAAAACAAAUGCUUUAUAUUCUCAAUUGGGUUCUAGUUUGUGAGACUCUUUCUCAAGACAUUUUUCUCUUUUUUUUUUAAUUUUCAGGUUCUUGUUGUUGCAAACCCUGCAAACACCAACGCAUUGAUCCUGAAGGAAUUUGCACCAUCCAUCCCUGAGAAGAACAUUACCUGUCUGACAAGGCUUGACCACAACAGGGCCUUGGGUCAGAUCUCCGAGAGGUUGAGCGUGCCCGUGUCUGAUGUUAAGAACGUGAUCAUCUGGGGAAACCACUCAUCCUCACAGUACCCAGAUGUCAACCACGCUAAGGUGCAGACAUCGGCUGGAGAGAAGCCAGUCCGUGAGCUCGUCAAGAACGAUGAAUACUUGAAUGGAGAAUUCAUCACCACCGUUCAGCAACGUGGAGCUGCUAUCAUCAAGGCGAGGAAGUUGUCAAGUGCACUUUCUGCUGCUAGCUCUGCUUGUGACCACAUCCGUGACUGGGUCCUUGGAACUCCAGAGGUUCAUAAUAACCCUCUUCCCAUUAUUCGCAGACCCGUUAUAAUAAACAGAUGAUUGUUGUUCUAAUAUGAGGUCUUUCUUUUGUUCAGGGUACAUUUGUUUCAAUGGGAGUAUACUCCGAUGGCUCUUACGACGUUCCAGCUGGACUUAUCUACUCCUUCCCUGUCACUUGCCGCAAUGGAGAGUGGAGUAUUGUCCAAGGUAAGAACAAGCCUUUACAAUUCAAAUACUUAAUUCUGAAUACCUUACCGUGUUCAUGCUAAAUUGAAUUUGUUUGAUCAGGGCUUCCCAUCGAUGAAAUGUCAAGGAAGAAGAUGGAUUUGACAGCAGAGGAGCUGAAGGAAGAGAAGGACUUGGCCUACUCAUGCCUCUCUUAAACAGCCAAUACUCUUCUUCCGAAGCCAUUUUUCAUCUAUCAGGUGUGAGAUCAUCAUAGCUGUUAGGGCUGUGUCUGAAUAAGAUCUCCAAACACUGUUUUAUAACCUCUUUGUGGGUUUGUCUUCGUAUUGAGCAUUGUCCCUGGUUUGUUUCUAAACCAGGAUAUCGUUUACUCUGUGGUUCAUGUGUCUUGUAUGGUUUUAUCCAUAAUAAUUUUUUAAAAAAUUGGUAACUUCAUGUUCUCCAUUAGUUUUGGUCUUAGUCAGUACUCAGUAGCCCAAAACUGAUACCGAGUUUGUGCAGUUAUGGGGAAUGGCGUUGUGUUGCAAGAGGGAACGUCUGGUUCUUGAACACUAGAUUAGAGGUUUCUAUUCUCGAUGGCCCAAUGAAUCAGAAAUCGAAUCAGAUUCAUGAGCCCACCAUGUAAAUGAAGAUAACUCAAUUUCCGCACUAAAGGC
This 5134-nucleotide long non-coding RNA is filed under the name Brassica napus (rape). Its description in RNAcentral is "long non-coding RNA (BNAP_LNC008620)". Lineage: Eukaryota; Viridiplantae; Streptophyta; Magnoliopsida; Brassicales; Brassicaceae. The record is from RNAcentral.